This 663-nucleotide long non-coding RNA is filed under the name Fragaria vesca (wild strawberry). RNAcentral describes it as "long non-coding RNA (FVES_LNC001091)". Lineage: Eukaryota; Viridiplantae; Streptophyta; Magnoliopsida; Rosales; Rosaceae. The record is from RNAcentral.
AACGAAGCCUCCAGGAAGAGAAAGUCUACCCUCUCUGUUUUCCCUUCUCUCUCUACCCUCUCUGUUUUUUUUUUGGUGACCCUACUUACUGCUAGUUAGCUUUAACGAGGGUACAAUUCAGAAUUUGAUGCUUCAUUAACUGAACAAGCUGAAUUGCUAGAGUGUUGGUUUAAUGGUUGAGAUGUUAAUGAUGGCAUCCUCAUUUCUUCUGUACUAUGUAGGAAAAAUGCUGGCUUUUGAGGCAAUGGCAUAGUUACCGAGUAACUGCUUAGCAUGAGAACUACGGUUUGCAUUGUAGGUCUCUUCUCUGGAUCUUCUUGGACACACAGUAAAGCAAUAUGGAUACAUCUGAUUACUUCAUUUCUUGAAUAAGAACGUCUUAGAUUUCGAUCCAGCAACUCUUCUGGCGUCCCAUCCCUCCAAUGGUUCCAAGCCUAGAAUUUUUUCAUUUCAUGAAUCCAUUAGAAUGUAAGAAACUUGCAAUCUUGAAAAAAUUAUUUACUUGCUCAGAUAUCUGAAUUCAACUUAUACUCACAUAGGUCAAGAGGUAUUCGCCACGUUCGGAUUGAAAGCUAGUGUUCUUCUCGCUGGUUACAAUCUCUAAGAUCAAGACACCAAGACUGUACACAUCAGAUUUCACCGAGAACUGUCCGUGCAUUACGU